Molecule: non-coding RNA, 1841 nt
Organism: Misgurnus anguillicaudatus (oriental weatherfish)
Lineage: Eukaryota; Metazoa; Chordata; Actinopteri; Cypriniformes; Cobitidae
Source: RefSeq, a predicted model, not a curated record
UGAUUUUCUCUCCGGCUCUCUGACUCGACAGAAUCAAUCUGUUGUUUGUAAUGAUGAUUAUUUAUGUGGCCCAGAACAUAAUGGUCUCCAGACGUCAAGCUAUAUUGUUUAAUAAAACUGAUAAAGUGUGUUUUUUUACUGAGCCCAGAUGUUAACAAUAACGCCGUGUGUUUGUUUAGCUAUACAUUUGUGGACGAAAUUGUUCCCAGAGGUGAAGUAAAUUCAAAACAGCUCAACGUGUCCAUUUCGUUUCAGGGUUUCGAGGUCUGAGAUCAUCUCAGCGUGAUUCAGAGAUGCAUACCUGAGGAUUUAAGUGUGGGGGGUAAGAUUACACCAGAAAACAGAAGGAAGUUCUCCAAAAAGUCCCAGAUUUAAAUGAGUCAACCGAGGUCUUAUCGCCCUUCCUGACUGCUCAUUGGAGGAAGGCGGGAGGGGUCACAGGAUGUAUCGCCUUUGCAUUAUGUUUCUCAUUAUUAAGAGGUUUUGUUUGGAGUCACUGCGUCCAUUUAAGGACAACUACACAAACACAACGGAUAACACAUCGGUCACUGCAAAGGAUCAUGGGAAAGUUGUGUAAACAUUUCUGUCUCAGAGAUAUUUCAGCUGUGUGUAGUCAAUUAUAGUUGUUUGAAACUGCAGGAAUGUCAGGUAAGGUGACAUUAAAGAUCCAUUCAAGAGAAAAAAUUCUAUGCACGCUUUUGUGCCAUAAUUUGAAAACACACCCUGGAGCCGGGACACACCCAGACCGGGCGGCACAUAACCGCGGGAACCUACAGGAGGGUGAGGAGGUCAGGAGUGACCUUAUUUGUUGCCCAAUCAGCACAGAGACACAAUGUACCGUCAGCGAGGGAUGGAUUGAUUUUUCCGACACGUUGCCUCGUUCAAGUGUAAGUUAAUGACGGACUCCACAAACAAACACAAGAACAUUCCAUACGUGCUGAUCAAAUACUCCCAUCAUCUCUUUCUGUCCCCUUUUCCUGGAAGUCACCCUGCAUUCCUGAAAUACCAUGACUGAAGUUUGUAGCCUGGCCAAGAUCCCAAAUCUCGCUUGAUUUAUAGUUCAGGAUUUAGUAGAUUUAGAUAGUUUUUCUUGUAUUGUAAACGAGAAACAUCACAAGCAAUCUGUCAAACAACAGCUGCACAUGAGAUGUGUGUUGUGCAUGUCGCCGUCAUGUUCACAAGACAUUUAAUAUUUAAUCAAUGCUUUUGACAAAAGAGAAACAAAUUAGAUUAUUUUGUCUAAAUUAUACAAUAAUUUAUAAUAAAAACAGUUUGUCAUAUUAAAUCAGAUCAUUUUGUAUAAUGAAUUAUUCCCUGCAGCACUGCUAGUUUCAUGUUUAUCAAACACAGAUCAGAUUUCAUUCAUCAUUCAGUCUUUACAGCAUAUGAUAGAUGUGUGUUUAAAGGUGCUGUAGAAUGUAAAACUGUAUUUAUUUAUUUAGGCAAUGCAUAGAUGAAUAAUAAGAGUUGUGUACAUUGUAAUGAAACACCACGAGCCUCAAACAUGAUUGUUUCCUUCUUCUUAUGUAAACCUUGUGCAUGCAAGAAGACAGAUGGAAAACAUCUCAACAUGAUGUUAAAGUGGAGAUUGUACUUAAUUUAAUGGUGUACCCCCAAAAUUAAAUUACACAUCAAAUGUUACAAUGCUAAAAAGAAAAUUGUGAUGAGUUAGCACUAUAUGCUCCAAACAAUUGAUUAUUCUUUAAAAUCUGUAUCUUCAUCUGACACAGACUCAAACAUAAGAUCUGUUUACACCAGGAGUCUCAAACUCAGACUGGCUUGGGGCCAUCGGAGGGCCGCAGAGCUAUUUUAACAUUCAACAAAGUACAAUAUUUCUGUAA